AUUGAACGCUGGCGGCAGGCCUAACACAUGCAAGUCGCGCGAGCGGCGGACGGGUGAGUAAUGUCUGGGAAACUGCCCGAUGGAGGGGGAUAACUACUGGAAACGGUCGCUAAUACCGCAUACCAUCAGAUGGACCCAGAUGGGAUUCGCUAGUAGGUGGGGUAAUGGCUCACCUAGGCGACGAUCCCUAGCUGGUCUGAGAGGAUGACCAGCCACACUGGAACUGAGACACGGCCCAGACUCCUACGGGAGGAAGCAGUGGGGAAUAUUGCACAAUGGGCGCAAGCCUGAUGCAGCCAUGCCGCGUGUGUGAAGAAGGCCUUAGGGUUGUAAAGUACUUUCAGCGGGGAGGCGUUACCCGCAGAAGAAGCACCGGCUAACUCCGUGCCAGCCGCCGCGGUAAUAC
RNAcentral lists this ribosomal RNA (406 nucleotides) under uncultured bacterium. RNAcentral's name for it is "partial 16S ribosomal RNA". It matches the Rfam family "Bacterial small subunit ribosomal RNA", at positions 30 to 526 of the family's 1533-position model. The record is from RNAcentral.